This 253-nucleotide ribosomal RNA is filed under the name uncultured bacterium. Its description in RNAcentral is "partial 16S ribosomal RNA". It matches the Rfam family "Bacterial small subunit ribosomal RNA", at positions 524 to 776 of the family's 1533-position model. The record is from RNAcentral.
UACGUAGGUCCCGAGCGUUAUCCGGAAUUAUUGGGCGUAAAGGGUACGCAAGUGGUUAUGUAAGUCUGGUGUGAAAUUUUUGGGCUCAACCCAAAAAGGUCAUUGGAAACUGCAUGACUUGAGAGCAGGAGAGGUAAGUGGAAUUCCUAGUGUAGCGGUGAAAUGCGUAGAGAUUAGGAGGAACACCAGUGGCGAAGGCGGCUUACUGGACUGUGUCUGACACUGAGGUACGAAAGCGUGGGUAGCAAACAGG